RNAcentral lists this small RNA (168 nucleotides) under uncultured Prevotella sp. Its description in RNAcentral is "Bacteroidales-1 6S-Bacteroidales RNA suggested". It matches the Rfam family "Bacteroidales-1 6S-Bacteroidales RNA suggested". Lineage: Bacteria; Pseudomonadati; Bacteroidota; Bacteroidia; Bacteroidales; Prevotellaceae. The record is from RNAcentral.
GCUGUGCCGGUUCGAUCGGGAUACUCAUCAAAUUACAUUGAAAACCGAGCUGACUCCUCUUGUCAAUGGCGGGCCACAAUUCUAAGCCGAAAGGUCGGUGGAUUACAACGACGGAGGGUGCUCAAAUCUUUUAACAAAGGAGUUUUCAUCACAUCACCGGGCGGCACC